This 490-nucleotide ribosomal RNA is filed under the name uncultured bacterium. RNAcentral's name for it is "partial 16S ribosomal RNA". It matches the Rfam family "Bacterial small subunit ribosomal RNA", at positions 30 to 507 of the family's 1533-position model. The record is from RNAcentral.
AUUGAACGCUGGCGGCAUGCCUUACACAUGCAAGUCGAACGGCAGCAUGAUCUAGCUUGCUAGAUUGAUGGCGAGUGGCGAACGGGUGAGUAAUACAUCGGAACGUGCCCUGUUGGGGGGGAUAACUAGUCGAAAGAUUAGCUAAUACCGCAUACGACCUGAGGGUGAAAGUGGGGGACCGCAAGGCCUCAUGCUAUAGGAGCGGCCGAUGUCUGAUUAGCUAGUUGGUGGGGUAAAGGCCCACCAAGGCGACGAUCAGUAGCUGGUCUGAGAGGACGAUCGGCCGCACUGGGACUGAGACACGGCCCAGAGUCCUGCGGGAGGCAGCAGUGGGGAAUUUUGGACAAUGGGGGCAACCCUGAUCCAGCAAUGCCGCGUGUGUGAAGAAGGCCUUCGGGUUGUAAAGCACUUUUGUCCGGAAAGAAAUCGCACUUACUAAUAUUAGGUGUGGAUGACGGUACCGGAAGAAUAAGGACCGGCUAACUACGUG